RNAcentral lists this long non-coding RNA (294 nucleotides) under Zea mays. RNAcentral describes it as "long non-coding RNA NONZMAT003466". The record is from RNAcentral. Lineage: Eukaryota; Viridiplantae; Streptophyta; Magnoliopsida; Poales; Poaceae.
CCCAAAGGAUGUAAAGUAUGGACUAAUUUAGUAAUCUGAAAAAAUUCAAUAUUCAAUGCUGGUCUUGCAUACAUGCACUGAUGAGAGAUGACUAUCAUAUGCAAACAUUGUCCCGUCACAAAAACAUGUUUGGGACAAUAUUUAGUCAAACCUUUAAAAGUGCAAACAUCAAUAAAUUCUAAAUUAUCUUGUUUCAAAACCGUGCAAGUUUAUGAUGUAGAAUUGUAUUGCAAAUACUUGCUAAUUAAAUCUCAUUAAGUUCAAGAAUUUUGAGAAUAUAUUCUAGAAAAUUUC